AUGCCACAAUUGCAAAUCUUGAGGGUGAGAUCAAACAUGUUUAGCGGUCAUAUUCCUAAGAACCUUACUGACCUUGAAAGUCUUUAUCAUUUGGAUAUAGCCCGUAACAAUAUUUCUGGAAGCAUACCAUGGUCACUAUCAAGCUUGAAAGCAAUGAGAGUCAUAUCUCGGAAAAGGUUAGGCUAUGAUUUUGAGGAGAAUGAUUUAGAGGUGAGUGAUUUUGAGGAGAGCAUACCAGUCAUUACAAAAGGCCAAACACGUGACUAUACCUUUGGCAUAUACGGGCUAGUGGUGAAUCUUGAUUUUUCAUGUAAUAGUUUAACAGGACAGAUUCCAGAGGAGAUAAAAUUGCUGAUUGGGCUCACCAAUUUGAACUUAUCAAGUAAUCAGUUGAUUGGCAAAAUCCCAAUUCAGAUUGGUGCUCUAAAGCAGCUAGAGUCCCUCGACCUAUCCUAUAACAAGCUUUCUGGUGAAAUCCCAUCUGGUUUGUCAGCUCUAACCUCUCUAAGCUACUUGAACCUGUCAUACAACAACUUAUCAGGCAUGAUACCAUCCGGGCCCCAGCUACAAGCUCUUGACAACCAGAUUGAUAUCUACAUCGGCAACCCCGGUCUAUGUGGCUACCCUCUCUCCAAAAACUGCUCUGCUAGUACUACUGAUGCAGAGCCAAGUGUCGACCAUGAAGAUGUAGAUCAUAUUUCAUAUCUCUACCUUGGGAUGGGCAUAGGAUUUGUGGUCGGCCUUUGGGUGGUGUUUUGCACCAUGUUACUGGAAAGAAGCUGGACGAUUGCUUACUUCCAGAUCAUUGAUAAGCUGUAUGAUGAGGUUUAUGUACGAGUGGCUAUAACUUGGGCUCGCCUCAUGAAGAAGACCCACGACGACGCAGUGUGA
Molecule: ribosomal RNA, 891 nt
Filed under: Triticum aestivum (bread wheat)
Lineage: Eukaryota; Viridiplantae; Streptophyta; Magnoliopsida; Poales; Poaceae
Description: partial small subunit ribosomal RNA
Source: RNAcentral